AUAUUUACGUUAUCAAUACCAUAGACAGUAACGGCUUUAGAAGCUUAAAAAAGUUACCGAGGUAGAUGAAAGUAAAUUUAUUCUUUCCCCUCGCCAGUCUAUCAGCGAGGGUUUUAUAUCUAUAGC
Molecule: regulatory RNA element, 126 nt
Organism: Bulleidia extructa W1219
Lineage: Bacteria; Bacillati; Bacillota; Erysipelotrichia; Erysipelotrichales; Erysipelotrichaceae
Rfam family: Ribosomal protein L10 leader
About the family: This family is a putative r-protein leader autoregulatory structure found in B. subtilis and other low-GC Gram-positive bacteria. It is located in the 5' untranslated regions of mRNAs encoding ribosomal proteins L10 and L12 (rplJ-rplL).
Source: Rfam